Molecule: long non-coding RNA, 388 nt
Organism: Saccostrea cuccullata (small rock oyster)
Lineage: Eukaryota; Metazoa; Mollusca; Bivalvia; Ostreida; Ostreidae
Exons: 3
Source: RefSeq, a predicted model, not a curated record
UUCCAGUCCCUAACAUACAUCUGAUCAUCAUCUUGAAAUAUAAAAUUGGAUUAUGGUUCAAAAUUUUCUAUCGAUUCAAAAGAAUAAGUUUGUUUUUGUCGCCGAAAAGGGGAAGAGAAAAGUAAGUAAUUCUCGAUCGCAAACCGAUCCAGACUGAGACACCUUAAUUCUAAUACUAACAUACUCUGGUGCAAUGACAGAAGAAAACGGAACAGCUGUCCGUCCGCAAAACAAUUUACUAUACCUCGAAUCUGGUGGAUCUGACAAAGAUAAAAGAGGGAUGGAACUCGAAAAUGAGAAAGGUUUACGACCCCAGAGGAACGACAGCAUUCUUCCCGAUGAUUUGAACUUUCUGGGGCGUAAAAAGAAGAAACGGACUAACAAACCA